GGAUUUUGUCAGAAAGUGGAAACUCUCCGCGAAGCCUUUCCUCGCCGCUGCGGCUCGCGCCUCGCUUCUUCCCCUAGGUUCACCUGCCUGCCCGAGUGACUGAGAGCCGUGCGGACCGGCCCCCGCCGCCCGGAACGCACUUCCAGUCCCAUGGAGCCCGAACUCCUGCUCGGCGUCUCUACUUUCCGCUCCGGCUGAGCUGCUCUGGAGCCCGAGACCGGGGAGGCGCGACUCUCGGCCCACGGCCGCACAGCCGCCGGGUGCUGUCCGCCCUCCGAGACCCGCGCCAGCGCAUCGUAUGGGACUGGGACUCCAAUGGCAAACAUGACUUCAUUGGCGAAUACACCUCAGCAUUCAAGGAGAUGAGAGGAGUGAUGGAAGGGAAACAGGUCACCCACAACAUGGAAGAAAUUGACUCCUAAUGCAAUCUUCCCACAGUAUCUCUAAGUUACAUGUGGACUUUGGGUGAAAUGGAUCUGGAUCCACCAUGAGUUCAGCUUCAGGACAGCACUCAAUCAAGUCCAUGCAGACAGGAACCAAUUGUCUUUAGGAACUUCCAGAGGAGGCACCACCAUGGGAUUACAAGUGUCAUGUGUGGGGCCCCAGCCGAAGAACCCAAGACGAGCAGAGAAAGAUCCUUACUCCUCUGCAGAGAGACCCUCCCUCGAUAUGUGGUCACCCCAGACACCUGCUCACCCCAAGUACCUGGUCACCUGGGCUAUCUGAUUGGUUCCUCGUCCUCCACCUCCCCCAGGCGAUGACUGAUCGCAAGGAUCCUGGCAGGUCAGUUUAGCCGGAAUCCCCGCUGACCCCAGAUGUCUACCUUAGCCAGCGUUCACUACUGCUCCCUCCUUCUGCUCACUGGCUGUAAACCCCUUGCCCACGCUGCAUUCUAGAUGGAGCCUGGCUCUCUACAGAGGUUUUUUUCCUCCAUUGCAAUAGCUGCUGAAUAAAAUCUGUGUGGGCUGCUUUAAAGACCAUCUGGCUCUGGUUCUGUUUGAAAGAGGACGCAGCAGGAAGAUGACUGUCUCCAUGCCAAAGAGGGAGGCCACAGAGAAACCAACCCUGCCAACACGUUAAACUCGGAGCUCCAGCCUUUGGAACCUGUGAGACAAUACAUGUCUAUUGUUUAACCACCUCGUCCGUGGUGUUUGUUACAGCGGCCCCAGGAAACACAGACACCAUUGUCUGUGGAGAGGUGGUGGAGAGCUGGGUUUGUACUUGAGCUCCACCACCAGUGAGCCAUCUGCCUGUGCCUUGGUUUCUCACCUGUAAAAUGGGAUUGGUAAAAGGGCCCCUCUCACAGAUCAUAGGGAGGCUCCCGCAAGUUAAAGCGUGUGAGGCGCUCAGGGCCCAUGUUAACCACGCAGCGUGUUGGCCAUCCGCCCCACAUUCUGGACCCUCUCCUCUGGUGGGGAGGUAUUCCCUCUAGGCUGGAGGGGAUCCAUCCACUGGUACCAUCUCCAGCUGUUAGAACCUCUUCGUGUAGAGGCAGGGAGGGUUCAGAAUUUGCCACCCCAAAUAUGCCGCAUUGGCCCAAGCGUUACUUUGAGUUGAGGGAUUGAGAAGCAGCAAAAGGAAAAACUGCCCCCCUCCACCUGCCUGAUCCUUUGUGAGGUUGGUCCCCUCCCUCUCCUGUACCAGGAAGGGGAGAAAGGAUCUUAUCAUCUGAGAAGGUACCAACUUCAGUCUGCGUAACAAACCUCACUGAAUCAGCUCUGUCUUCCAUUAUGUCCCCCUGCUUAUUUACCUUCCCACAACUUACUGCCCCAAAAAACUGAAAGCUGCUUUCCUUUGUCUUGUCUCUUCUCCAGAAAUUGAUCACCCUUUGUCAACACGGCACAUAAACCCUAUCUAACUAUCUCUUUGCACCUCCACUUCUUUUCUGUGAAGGCUUCUGUACACAGACAUAAUAAACCUUUUGCUUCUGUUAA
Molecule: long non-coding RNA, 1934 nt
Organism: Phacochoerus africanus (Common warthog)
Lineage: Eukaryota; Metazoa; Chordata; Mammalia; Artiodactyla; Suidae
Exons: 5
Source: RefSeq, a predicted model, not a curated record